Planococcus citri (citrus mealybug) is the source of this 1182-nucleotide long non-coding RNA. RefSeq lists it as uncharacterized. The record is from RefSeq and is a predicted model, not a curated record. The transcript is spliced from 2 exons. Lineage: Eukaryota; Metazoa; Arthropoda; Insecta; Hemiptera; Pseudococcidae.
AUACUCUAUAUCGAUUCCCCUUUGACUGAUUAAAAAAUGUUGUUCCUGUUUGGAUACUUCCCUUGUAAGGCUGUUUCAAAAUUAUUUCAUCUUAAAGACAUGCUUAUAAAACCAAAAAGCUCAAUAACUCGUACCAUUUCAUCCACGUUUUCUCGUAAAAUUUUCUCUACAUCGUUUAAGACCUUGUCUUAACAUUCUCUUUUCGUUUGCUUUACUGCCAAAAAUACGAUAAAGAUAAUAUAAAUACAAAUUCAAACAUCAACAACUCGAGAAAAAAAUACUGACUCGACUGUACAAUGUGUUGGUAGCAAGGCCACCAUCCCAUACACUCGAGCCGGCCGGCAUAGUCGCCGGUCUGCGUAUCACACCCAGACCGCAUGACUUAUCAGCCGGUGCAGGCGCACGGGUGCAAGGAUGUUAAUUAUUUGCGAAUUUACAUUGCUACAAAAUGCAAUAAAAAAUUACUGUUAGUACGUGACAUUGUAAGUAUGUAUUUAUUUCUGCGCAGUAUUUCGUUGAAGGUCGCGAGUCAUAAAUACAUAGAGUAUCCGCGGAACCGGACAUAAUUUCGUCGCAGCAUUAUUCCUUCAGACGUAGAUUUAUCAAAAUUUACACAAUAACAACGUGUUGAGAAUUUCUUCUUUCGAUUACCUACUUUCAUCGCGAGAUUUUUUAAUUUUUAUUUCAUUUGAAUUGAAUUUAAAAAAGUGAAAAAUGAAUAAAUUAUUCGCACUUCUUCUGAUUUCAAUCGUACUUGUUUCAUUUUUAUCUCAAGAUGCGGAAGCCGGAGCACUUACCUACGGAGCCUGUCAGACAGGCUGUAAUAAGGUGGCAGUCGCAUGUUACACGGCGGGUGGCGGUAUCUUCGGUACACUUACACUCGGACUCGGAGUACCUGCAGCUCUUGUAGGAUGCUCGGUGGCACAAGGAUCUUGCAUGGCAGGAUGUGCCGUACUGUUACCUUGAAAAAAAUAUAUGUGGUGAAUAUAAGACAUUUCUGAUAAAAACUUGUAAAAAGCAUUUUUUUUAAUCUAUUUUUUUCUACUUUAUAUUAUUAUUUUACGGCAGAUAUCUUGAUAUUAUUUAUCGUCAGUAGGUACUAAAGUUUAAAAUAAUGAAUAUUUUUAUGUUUAUUUUGGUAAUAUAACGUAAUAACGUUAAUAAAAUAUUCCUGUAUUUUUA